This 659-nucleotide long non-coding RNA is filed under the name Sorghum bicolor (sorghum). RNAcentral describes it as "long non-coding RNA (SBIC_LNC013140)". The record is from RNAcentral. Lineage: Eukaryota; Viridiplantae; Streptophyta; Magnoliopsida; Poales; Poaceae.
CUAGAGUUUCGGAUUAUGAAAUCACAGAAGGGGAUGAGCGAAUCAGUUCAAAUCACAAUGAAAUCCCCAAAAUCCCGAAACCCUAGAUCAUGAUUUCCCUAAAAUCCUUAUGAACUCAAACCCUAAUUUCACUGGUUUGAGAUAAGGAUGACUUACUUUGGCAUGGGGUCAGAGCUCCUAUAAUGUUCUAAGCACUAUGGCGGCAUAUGGACGCGCUACAGUGCUCACGCACAUCAACCGUAGGCACAGGCGCCGCCGCCAGGCCGUGCUGGUGUGGCCGUGCGCGCCGGUAUGGCCCAUGUGCAGCCGUUGCGGACCAAAUCUCAGUGUGUUGGCUCGCGCGCGACCACUGAUGUCUCGGCCGCGUUGCCCGCACCACCCGUGUGCCACUGCCAUUGAGCGUCUUGCUCCCGCACUGCUGUCCGGCCCGUGCCACCUUGUGGCCGAACGUGCAGGAGCCGCCCGCACCGCCGCCGCUGGCUCGCUCACAGCCGCCCGCGUGCCCGCCGCCAUUGCUGCCCUCGCCCUACGCGCGGUGCCCUGAAGGAGCUGGCCAGGAGCCGCGCGAUGGCGCCCGGGCCGGCCCCACCUUCCUCUGCCCACAGAGAGCGCCGUCACUGUUCUGGUGGCCGGCUGCUGCGAGAAAUGUGGAGGAAAGG